GACGAACGCUGGCGGCGUGCUUAACACAUGCAAGUCGAACGGAAAGGCCCUGCUUGCAGGGUACUCGAGUGGCGAACGGGUGAGUAACACGUGGGUGAUCUGCCCUGCACUUCGGGAUAAGCCUGGGAAACUGGGUCUAAUACCGGAUAGGAGCCAUUUUUAGUGUGAUGGUUGGAAAGUUUUUUCGGUGUAGGAUGAGCUCGCGGCCUAUCAGCUUGUUGGUGGGGUAAUGGCCUACCAAGGCGGCGACGGGUAGCCGGCCUGAGAGGGUGGACGGACACAUUGGGACUGAGAUACGGCCCAGACUCCUACGGGAGGCAGCAGUGGGGAAUAUUGAACAAUGGGCGCAAGCCUGAUGCAGCGACGCCGCGGGGGGGAUGACGGCCUUCGGGUUGUAAACUCCUUUCGCUAGGGACGAAGCUUUUUGUGACGGUACCUAGAUAAGAAGCACCGGCUAACUACGUG
Molecule: ribosomal RNA, 465 nt
Filed under: uncultured bacterium
Lineage: Bacteria
Description: partial 16S ribosomal RNA
Rfam family: Bacterial small subunit ribosomal RNA
Source: RNAcentral